AGAGUUUGAUCCUGGCUCAGGAUGAACGCUAGCGGCAGGCCUAACACAUGCAAGUCGAACGGUAACAGAAAAAAGCUUGCUUUUUUGCUGACGAGUGGCGCACGGGUGCGUAACGCGUAUACAAUCUACCUUUUACUGGGGGAUAGCCUUUGGAAACGAUGAAUAAUACCUCAUAGUAUCUAAAUUUCGCAUGAUAAUUAGAUUAAAGUUUCGGCGGUAAGAGAUGAGUAUGCGUUCUAUUAGCUAGAUGGUGUGGUAACGGCACACCAUGGCAACGAUAGAUAGGGGCCCUGAGAGGGGGAUCCCCCACACUGGUACUGAGACACGGACCAGACUCCUACGGGAGGCAGCAGUGAGGAAUAUUGGACAAUGGGCGAAAGCCUGAUCCAGCCAUGCCGCGUGCAGGAAGACUGCCCUAUGGGUUGUAAACUGCUUUUAUACGGGAAGAAACCCAUCUACGUGUAGGUGGCUGACGGUACCGUAAGAAUAAGCAUCGGCUAACUCCGUGCCAGCAGCCGCGGUAAUACGGAGGAUGCAAGCGUUAUCCGGAAUCAUUGGGUUUAAAGGGUCCGUAGGUGGAUUAGUAAGUCAGAGGUGAAAGCCUGCAGCUCAACUGUAGAACUGCCUUUGAUACUGCUAGUCUUGAAUUAUUGUGAAGUGGUUAGAAUAUGUAGUGUAGCGGUGA
This 685-nucleotide ribosomal RNA is filed under the name uncultured Bacteroidota bacterium. RNAcentral describes it as "bacterial SSU rRNA". It matches the Rfam family "Bacterial small subunit ribosomal RNA", at positions 8 to 684 of the family's 1533-position model. The record is from RNAcentral. Lineage: Bacteria; Pseudomonadati; Bacteroidota.